Molecule: ribosomal RNA, 443 nt
Filed under: uncultured bacterium
Lineage: Bacteria
Description: partial 16S ribosomal RNA
Rfam family: Bacterial small subunit ribosomal RNA
Source: RNAcentral
CCUACGGGUGGCUGCAGUGGGGAAUAUUGGGCAAUGGGCGCAAGCCUGACCCAGCAACGCCGCGUGAAGGAAGAAGGCUUUCGGGUUGUAAACUUCUUUUGUCAGGGACGAAGCAAGUGACGGUACCUGACGAAUAAGCCACGGCUAACUACGUGCCAGCAGCCGAGGUAAUACGUAGGUGGCAAGCGUUAUCCGGAUUUAUUGGGUGUAAAGGGCGUGUAGGCGGGAAUGCAAGUCAGAUGUGAAAACUAUGGGCUCAACCCAUAGCCUGCAUUUGAAACUGUAUUUCUUGAGUGCUGGAGAGGCAAUCGGAAUUCCUGGUGUAGCGGUGAAAUGCGUAGAUAUUAGGAAGAACACCAGUGGCGAAGGCGGCUUUCUGGACUGAAACUGACGCUGAGGCACGAAAGCGUGGGGAGCGAACAGGAUUAGAUACCCCUGUAGUC